UACAGUGUACUUAUUUCAGAGAGAAUGGCUAGAGUUAGUAUGGAAGAUUUGGAGAUGAAAGAAGAAAUGAAUAUCAAAGAGGAAAUAGUAUCUCCCUCUACUGUAGAGGAUACAUGUACUGGAGAGGAUACAUGUACUGCAAAAGAUAUAUUUACUGCAGAGGAUACAUGUACUGGAGAGGAUACAUUUAGCAUAGAGGACAAAUGUACUGUUUAUAUAAAGGAAGAAGAUGUAAAGAUUGAAACCACAACGAUUAAAGAUGAACUGAUGGAUUAUGAAGAAGAAUCAAUGCAAAAAAACAUUAAGAAUAAAUCAGAGAAAGUAAGAUAUCCCUGUUCUAUGUGCUCAUUUACAGGAGGCACUACAAGUCAUCUUAGAAGGCACAUUGACAUUAAACAUAAAGGAAUUAGAUAUUCUUGUUCUAGUUGUCACUACUCUGCAACUACACCACAGGGUUUAAGAAUACAUGUUGAGUUUAAACAUGAGGGAAAAAGGUAUCCUUGCGAUAAAUGUGAAUACAUUGCUGCUUUAGCUAAAGAUCUCAAAAGACACACUGAGAUUAUUCAUAUGGGAAUAAGAUAUCCCUGUGAUAAAUGUGAAUACGCUGGAUCGUCGGCAUAUCAUUUAAAAAUACACAUUCAGAGUAAACACGACGGAGUGAGAUAUCCCUGCGAUAAGUGUGAAUUAACUUUCUGUUCUCCAAAAGAUCUUCGGAGACACAUUGAGAUCAAACACGAAGGAGUGAGAUAUCCUUGUGAUAUGUGUGAUUACACUACGACUAGACCCAAUUUACUUAGAAAUCAUAUUGAAGGUAAACAUGAAGGAGUAAGAUAUCCUUGUGAUAAGUGUGAAUACGCUACAACUUCGGCAAGAACACUUUUACAGCACAUUAAAGUUAAUCACGAAGGAGUGAGAUAUCUUUGUGAUCAAUGCGAAUAUGCUUCCACUACAAGAAGUCAUCUGAAGAAACACAUUGAAAAGAAACAUGAGACAAAGUAUCCGUGUGAGAAAUGUGAGUUUAUAGGGGACAAAGCUAUUGAUCUGAGGAAGCAUUGUAAAAGUGAACACAAAGACUGACAAGUGACAGGGAAUAAUAUUGAAAAUAAGUUUAGACCGUCGAAAUCUCGAUUAAAACUUUAAAAUGAUAAUAUUUCCGAAAGAGAAUAUCUGUAAAUAUGCUCCGAUCCUCUCCCAUCUAUCUUUCUACCUGAAUUGGCGUAUUUCUAUGAGAAGGGGUUUAUUUGUUGGCUUAUUAUAGAUUAGUGUCAUACUUCACCUGGUUCAUUAAUUUACAUCAUUUGGUGGAAAUUUUGGUACCCAAUACCCAGUCAUUAAACUGCUAAAUAAUCUUGAGUCUUUUAUUUUUAACUAUAUGAAAUAUCUUAAACGACUUUUGAAUUUCAGAAUCUUCUAGCUUUAUUCCGGGUGAAAUUCUGAAAAAUAUACACCCCUGCUGCAAUCUAGCAUCAGGAGUGAACGAACGCUCCAUUGCUCACCCAUGUAUCCGCCCCUGAAUGAUCAUAAAAUAGUUUACAUGAACAUAAAAAUAAUUUAAUGAAAUAGUUUUUUUGUUUGGGCUAUUUAUAGUGACAAAUGGACAUAGUUGGAUAUGUGGCCGCAGCGCCUGGCCCACUAGCCUGUCCUAGCCGUAGCGCUCGGCCCACUAGCCUGUCCUAGCCGUAGCGCUCGGCCCGAAAACUGUCUUAACCUCUCCUAACCCUGAAAUAAUACAAAACAAAAAAUAAUUCAAAUUACUAAAGUAAAUAGUUCAAAUGAAAAAUCUAUGUU
Eurytemora carolleeae is the source of this 1788-nucleotide RNA transcript. It is a transcript of the gene named zinc finger protein 271, with no coding region annotated. Lineage: Eukaryota; Metazoa; Arthropoda; Copepoda; Calanoida; Temoridae. The record is from RefSeq and is a predicted model, not a curated record. The transcript has 3 exons.